GACGGGGGCGGCAAGAGUUGUCCGGAAUUAUUGGGCGUAAAGAGCGCGUAGGUGGUUUGUCAAGUCAUUUGUGAAAACUUUAGGCUUAACUUAAAGAUUGCAAGUGAUACUGGCAUACUUGAGCACAGCAGAGGAAAGUGGAAUUCCUGGUGUAGCGGUGAAAUGCGCAGAUAUCAGGAAGAACACCAGUGGCGAAGGCGGCUUUCUGGCCUGUUGCUGACGCUGAGGCGCGAAAGCUAGGGGAGCAAACAGG
Molecule: ribosomal RNA, 253 nt
Filed under: uncultured bacterium
Lineage: Bacteria
Description: partial 16S ribosomal RNA
Rfam family: Bacterial small subunit ribosomal RNA
Source: RNAcentral